GUGCCAGCAGCCGCGGUAAUACAGAGGGUGCAAGCGUUAAUCGGAAUUACUGGGCGUAAAGCGCGCGUAGGUGGUUCGUUAAGUUGGAUGUGAAAUCCCCGGGCUCAACCUGGGAACUGCAUCCAAAACUGGCGAGCUAGAGUACGGCAGAGGGUGGUGGAAUUUCCUGUGUAGCGGUGAAAUGCGUAGAUAUAGGAAGGAACACCAGUGGCGAAGGCGACCACCUGGACUCAUACUGACACUGAGGUGCCAAAGCGUGGGGAGCAAACAGAUUAAAUACCCUUGUAGUCC
This 291-nucleotide ribosomal RNA is filed under the name uncultured microorganism. Its description in RNAcentral is "partial 16S ribosomal RNA". It matches the Rfam family "Bacterial small subunit ribosomal RNA", at positions 505 to 796 of the family's 1533-position model. The record is from RNAcentral.